GAUGAACGCUGGCGGCGUGCCUAAUACAUGCAAGUCAAGCGAACAGACGAGGAGCUUGCUCCUCUGACGUUAGCGGCGGACGGGUGAGUAACACGUGGAUAACCUACCUAUAAGACUGGGAUAACUUCGGGAAACCGGAGCUAAUACCGGAUAAUAUAUUGAACCGCAUGGUUCAAUAGUGAAAGACGGUUUUGCUGUCACUUAUAGAUGGAUCCGCGCCGCAUUAGCUAGUUGGUAAGGUAACGGCUUACCAAGGCAACGAUGCGUAGCCGACCUGAGAGGGGGGACAGGCAACCUGAAACAGGAGACAGGGCCAGAAUCCCAAGGGAGGGAGAAGAAGGGGAUUUUCCGCGAGGGGGAGAAGUAUGAGCGGGACAACGCGCAGGGAAGAAGGAGGGUCUUGGGCUGUAAAAAAUUUUUUAUAGGGCAAAAACAAAUUUAAAAUCAAUAAGGCAAGUCUUGACGGUACCAAACAAAAACGCCCCGGCAAAAUAGGUG
This 498-nucleotide ribosomal RNA is filed under the name uncultured bacterium. RNAcentral describes it as "partial 16S ribosomal RNA". It matches the Rfam family "Bacterial small subunit ribosomal RNA", at positions 28 to 507 of the family's 1533-position model. The record is from RNAcentral.